GUCAGCGUGUGCAAGGUUUUUUGUAAGGAUAAACCCUGAAGAGGGAACAAAAUGUACCUCCAAGGUUGGGACAAGCAGAAGGACUGGGACCACUGUGAAGUUUAAAGGUUGUUCACAUUAACCCUCAUGUCACAACUUUCCUCCAGUGGCUUACUGAAUUUGAGUGGAGAACUUCAAAUUAGAUGAUCCAUGGCCCAUGCUUUCUGGACAUUUACACAAGAUGAGCAACAAUGAAGACAAGCUCUCUUGCCCUCUUGCAAGACGCUGUCUCUGUCCAACAGGUUUUUUGAGUGCAACAGUGUUGAUUUUUUUUCCCUUCUUUUACCCGUUUGUUAAAAAUUAUUGCAGCUACUUACACUUUAAUUGUCACAUGUAUUGGCUCACCCUACAAAUCAAUGAACUCAGUCCACAAAGCAAGAUCAGGGUUCAGUGCAGGUCAGUCAAGUUCCUUCACACCACACACGCUCAUCCAUGUCCUUGUGGACCCUGCUUUGUGCAUUGAUUUGGUGGUGUGAGCCAGUAUUUUGGACAAAGUGUAUAUAAAGGCAGAAGUGUGGGGCUUGAUAUUAUAUUCAUUACAAUUCAGUUUAUUUGUAUGGUGCCAACAAAAUGAAUGCCAAGGCACUUCACAUUGUAGGUUUAAGACCCUACAAAAUAUAACUAAGAAAACCCAACACUUGAGCAUAUGUUGUCUGCCAUGAUAUGGAUAUGACAUAAUAUCGUUAUUGUUUGUACAACCAUCUGAGAAAAUAAUGGAUUACAUGGUUUAGUAAAAACAAGUGCUUUCUCAAUGAAAAUAUGUUUUCAGUUCUUUUCAGUUUUUGAUUUUGGAAAUGUGUAUUUCUGCAGAGGAA
Molecule: long non-coding RNA, 854 nt
Organism: Oreochromis aureus
Lineage: Eukaryota; Metazoa; Chordata; Actinopteri; Cichliformes; Cichlidae
Source: Ensembl